Molecule: non-coding RNA, 23 nt
Filed under: Arabidopsis thaliana (thale cress)
Lineage: Eukaryota; Viridiplantae; Streptophyta; Magnoliopsida; Brassicales; Brassicaceae
Source: RNAcentral
UCAAACGGUGGUCGCUGGUUGAC